GCCCACGUAGCUCAAUCGGUAGAGCAGCCGUCUCGUAAGCGGCAGGUACCCGGUUCAACUCCGGGCGUGGGCU
This 73-nucleotide transfer RNA is filed under the name Spirochaetes bacterium GWB1_59_5. Its description in RNAcentral is "tRNA-Thr". It matches the Rfam family "tRNA". From Rfam's summary of the family: Transfer RNA (tRNA) molecules are approximately 80 nucleotides in length. Their secondary structure includes four short double-helical elements and three loops (D, anti-codon, and T loops). Further hydrogen bonds mediate the characteristic L-shaped molecular structure. tRNAs have two regions of fundamental functional importance: the anti-codon, which is responsible for specific mRNA codon recognition, and the 3' end, to which the tRNAs corresponding amino acid is attached (by aminoacyl-tRNA synthetases). tRNAs cope with the degeneracy of the genetic code in two manners: having more than one tRNA (with a specific anti-codon) for a particular amino acid; and 'wobble' base-pairing, i.e. permitting non-standard base-pairing at the 3rd anti-codon position. Lineage: Bacteria; Pseudomonadati; Spirochaetota. The record is from RNAcentral.